Molecule: ribosomal RNA, 253 nt
Filed under: uncultured bacterium
Lineage: Bacteria
Description: partial 16S ribosomal RNA
Rfam family: Bacterial small subunit ribosomal RNA
Source: RNAcentral
UACGUAGGGGCCUAGCGUUGUCCGGAAUCAUUGGGCGUAAAGAGCUCGUAGGCGGUCUGUCACGUCUGCUGUGAAAACCCGAGGCUCAACCUCGGGCCUGCAGUCGAUACGGGCAGACUAGAGUUCGGUAGGGGAGGCUGGAAUUCCUGGUGUAGCGGUGAAAUGCGCAGAUAUCAGGAGGAACACCGGUGGCGAAGGCGGGUCUCUGGGCCGAAACUGACGCUGAGGAGCGAAAGCGUGGGGAGCGAACAGG